Ailuropoda melanoleuca (giant panda) is the source of this 1128-nucleotide long non-coding RNA. RefSeq lists it as uncharacterized. Lineage: Eukaryota; Metazoa; Chordata; Mammalia; Carnivora; Ursidae. The transcript is spliced from 3 exons. The record is from RefSeq and is a predicted model, not a curated record.
AAUCUCCCAAACACAGACUAUAAGGGACUACAGGGCACCUGAUCUCCAGGCAGCCCAGCCUUUGCCCUUGGCGUCUGGUGUAAGGCCUGCUUUAUUUGAGUCACCACUAUUAAGAGGGCAAAAAGCCCAAGUUCCUAACCCCAUGGGGUUCCCUGGAACAUGGCCUCUUUCUGGUGCACCUCCACCCAUGGUACCCCCAGACGUCAUACAGCCUGCCUCUACCUCCCUGGCUGAGACUACUCGACUGUUCCCUUCGCUUCCUGUGAGACUACCAGGUGUCAGCCCUACAAGCCUUCAGUCCCUAGCCCCUCCUGUCAAUUUCUCUGUGACACACCCUCCAGGAGGGCCAGGUGCCGCAUGCUCUAGUGCCUUCCCGACUACUGGCCUCUUGACUGCUCACCCAGGUCAGUCUUCUUUCCAUGGCUUCCGUCUUCUGGGUCAUUGCCUCCUUCUCUUCCCCCCUCCACGACCACCUUAGGAAUCUUUCCUCAUGCCAGUGAAUUGGGGCCAUUGGGUUGGAGAAUGGCAACUAAGAGUAUGGCUGGUCUGCAAAGGGAGGUGUGAUCGACGCCAACUAAAAUAAUUUUACUGGCCUUCAAACUGAAAAUUUCCAGUGCUCCUGACUGUGCCCCUAAAUACCUCUAUCUUUGUGCUAUGCAGGACCUCAAGAUUCCUUGAAAAACGCCCUAGUGCUCAGGGCAAACCUCCAGAGGAAAAAGUUACCAGAGAUAUUUAUGCCCCUAGCACCGAUUACUGCUCCAGUUGUGAGCCUCACCCCUGAGCCACGAGGGGUCCUUUCCUCACAGCCUUCUGUCCUUGGUGUGGGCCAUGCUCCCCCAGGAGCUCCAGGAGAAUUCAGCCUGCAGGUGAGAGGAACAGUGUGUUCCCCUCCUCUUGGAAACUUUCCAACUCUCCUUGGGUAUAGAAAAGCAGGGAGCAUGGUAGAUGGGCCUCAUUCCUCAAGGGGGAGGCCGAUACUGCACUGGGGAACUGGUGUAGACAGGUAGCAAAUGUUCUUACUACAGAGAAGAGGGGGUGCCCCUUUCCCCAACUCUGCUCUAGUGGGAGCAGUGUGACACUGAAUCACUGAGGACUAGUCCAUAGGGAAUCUAUGAGAAGGACAGCUUG